UUUUGAUGGAAUACAGUAACCUCCCAGCUUCACCAUUUCAGAUGUUUCUCGAGGUAAUAACAGAGGAGCAGGUGGAUGAACCCUAAGUGAUUCUUUGAUAACACUUCUAAGCUGAGGAAACCACAAGAGUUGGAAUCAAUCCCAGUCGCAGAAACACGAGAGGACCAUACUUUUUGGAGAGUUCUUGCAGCGAUCGAUGGGGAUACCUGCCCAGCUGAUGAAGGUUUCCAAGUAUUGGUAGCUUCGGUGGUGAUGGAGAUGCGGGGGGGUUUCUUGCAAACAGGAGUCCAUUUUCUUCUUCAACGUCCAACACAGAGAUGUCAGGAAGCUUCCAGGCGAACCAGUAGAGAAGAUUUGUUGAAAGGAAGCAAUUGCAAACGAUAUUCCAUUAGACUACAAUGGUAAUGGGGUGAGAUGGA
Molecule: long non-coding RNA, 419 nt
Organism: Cucurbita maxima (winter squash)
Lineage: Eukaryota; Viridiplantae; Streptophyta; Magnoliopsida; Cucurbitales; Cucurbitaceae
Exons: 3
Source: RefSeq, a predicted model, not a curated record